This 704-nucleotide ribosomal RNA is filed under the name uncultured Pseudomonadota bacterium. RNAcentral describes it as "bacterial SSU rRNA". It matches the Rfam family "Bacterial small subunit ribosomal RNA", at positions 72 to 767 of the family's 1533-position model. Lineage: Bacteria; Pseudomonadati; Pseudomonadota. The record is from RNAcentral.
CGAGGGGCUUGCUCCUCGGUAAAAGCGGCGCACGGGUGAGUAACACGUGGAUAACGUUCCCAAGGGUUAGGGAUAACCUGCUGAAAGGCGGGCUAAUACCUAAUGAGUUCACGAAGAGGAUGCUCUUUGUGAAGAAAGCGGGGCAACUCGCGCCCAUGGAUCGGUCCGCGUCCCAUCAGCUAGUUGGUAGGGUAACGGCCUACCAAGGCUAAGACGGGUAACUGGUCUGAGAGGACGACCAGUCACACUGGGACUGAGACACGGCCCAGACUCCUACGGGAGGCAGCAGUGGGGAAUAUUGGUCAAUGGGCGAAAGCCUGAACCAGCAAUGCCGCGUGAGUGAUGAAGGCCUUCGGGUUGUAAAGCUCUGUCGGGGGAGACGAAAAAAUCGCCUAACAAGCGAUCUUGACGGUACCCCCAAAGGAAGCACCGGCUAACUCUGUGCCAGCAGCCGCGGUAAUACAGAGGGUGCAAGCGUUGUUCGGAAUUACUGGGCGUAAAGCGCGUGUAGGCGGUCUAGCAAGUCAGACGUGAAAUCCCUAGGCUUAACCAAGGAAUGGCGUCUGAUACUGCUAGGCUUGAGUGUCGGAGGGGAUGGCGGAAUUCCCGGUGUAGAGGUGAAAUUCGUAGAUAUCGGGAGGAACACCCGUGGCGAAGGCGGCCAUCUGGAAGACAACUGACGCUGAGACGCGAAAGCGUGGGGA